GGGGCUGGGGUGAUGAUGGUCGCCAUCCGAGCAUUUGGAAUGUGCGAGGAGCUGCCAGAGGAAUUGUUAAUAUUUCUGUUGCAGCUUCAACACAUAGAUGCUUCUGUCCUGGAUUGUGCCUUUAGAAGUGUGACACUUGUCGGUGCUGGACACAGCCUGCUUCAGAACAGGCAUUAUCGGCCUUCAGUCAAGAUGGUGGCGUUUAACUUGAAGGCUUUGGAGAAUUUCCCAUUGCUGAUGUACAUCUUGGCAGCUAAAACAUUGAUUCUUUGCUUAGCAUUUGCUGGAGUUAAAAUGUACCAGAGUAAAAAACUUGAAGAAAAAUUGAAGAGGGAACGUGAAGCGAAAUUGAAAAGAGAAGCAGAGAAGAAGGGUGAUUAAAGGAAUCUCUCAGGUUUCCAUUCCCGUUAUAUAUGACUGAGUAGAAAAGUUUCACCAGCUCUCAGCCUCCCAGGCGAAGGCAGGGAAGAGUGGAUGUAGCUUGGGAAGCCUUUCCAGCCCUUACCAGACCUCAGCAGGGAAAGGAUUUUUUUCCAUUUUUCUCCAGAAGUGUCACCAACUCUACAGUGAGAAUCAAAGCCCCAGAGGCCAAUUCAGUGAUUGGUGGAAAUUGAGCUAGUCUGUGUGCUCCUAGCUUCUAGCAUCUGAGGACACCUGGAAGUACAUUAUCAAGACAGUCAUGCCUGGGAAUGAGUCAGGAAUAGAAGAUUCAAUGUGCUAUUGAAGCACCUGACAAGUCCAGGCUAAUGAGUUCUCUGAAGAUCCCCCCAAAGCACCAGCUACUUCUGUGGAUAAAUAAAGAGAGUAAAUAAAGAGGGUGCAGGGUAAUACCCUGCUUGUUUCA
RNA transcript from Lagopus leucura (white-tailed ptarmigan), 844 nucleotides. It is a transcript of the gene named small integral membrane protein 11, with no coding region annotated. The record is from RefSeq and is a predicted model, not a curated record. NCBI's taxonomy places the organism in Eukaryota, Metazoa, Chordata, Aves, Galliformes, Phasianidae. The transcript is spliced from 7 exons.